GGCAGCAUGGAAACAUGCACCUUCAACAGUACACAUUCUGGGAGGCACACUAACAUGAAGGAGAAAUCACUGAUGAGCCCUGAUAUGAUCAUUCCAGCUUGCAUGAGUUUGUAAAUUUGUGGAUAAGAUAAAAAGAAGACCCAAUAAUACAAGGAUGGAGGGAGAGAUAGUAACUUGGUGGUAGAGCACAAGUUUCACAUGCAUAAAAAGGUCCAGUCCCUUGUGUGUCUAGUAUUUCCCACCUAUUCGUGACUGUAAUGAAUUAAGAUAAUCACAAACUUCUCCUCUUGAGCCCAUGUUCAACAAUCCAUCUUUUCACUCACCAGUUCAUACUGACCAUUGAAUACUUAAAAUUCCCAAAUACAACCAUGGGACCAUAUCUCAACCUGGUAACAAGAACCCAGCUGGCUACUCCUUUUGAAACAGAUACUAAUUAUGAUACUGCAGACAAAGAAGAGGCACAUAUCCUCUUUCUCCUUUCACUUGCCUUUCCUGAAGCAUUUUCUGUACUACACAUAAAAGCUGCUAUAGAUGAAUCCUGCUCAGUAGACUGCACUAUCCAACCGUUGAUAUUCUCCAGUCAUUUCACAAUGUAAAGAACGAGAAUGACCUCUUGGCAGUCUGCAUACUCUGUAAUAGGGAAUCUUGAGGUUGGAUUACUGCAAUGCACUCUGUGAGAGACUGCUCUUAACAUUGGUUCAGAAUCUGCAGCUGGCACAGAUGCAAUGGCUAGGUUACUCAGUGGGGUGACUUACCAUGAGCAUGUAACUGUCCUAGUAAAGGAACUGCACCGGGUGCCAAGUUGCCAACAAAUGAAGUUUAAGGUUUUGUUGUUGAGUUUAUAAAGCCCUAAACAACUUGGGGGACAGCUUUCCUGAGAGAACACCCAUCUCCCACAGAUCUCUGUUCACAGAGAUCACCAGGUGACAACAUCCCUUCGGUAACACUGCAGCCCUCUGAAAUCUU
This is a non-coding RNA of Podarcis lilfordi (Lilford's wall lizard), 966 nucleotides long. The record is from the annotation of a GenBank genome assembly. Lineage: Eukaryota; Metazoa; Chordata; Lepidosauria; Squamata; Lacertidae.